Non-coding RNA from Microcebus murinus (gray mouse lemur), 1506 nucleotides. The record is from RefSeq and is a predicted model, not a curated record. Lineage: Eukaryota; Metazoa; Chordata; Mammalia; Primates; Cheirogaleidae.
UAUUCAGAUUUCUUUAGUUUUUGACCUAGUGUUCUUUUCUGUCCUUCAACCUGUUGUAGGACCUCAUUCAGAACACAUCAUGUUUGGUUGCCAUGGCUCUUUGGGCUCUUCCAGACUGUGACAGCUUCUCAGAUUUUCCUUGCUUUUGAUGACCUGAAUAGUUUUCAGGCGUAGUCUUCAGGCAUUUUGUUGAGUUUCCUUCAGUUGGGGUUUGCCUGGUGUUUUUCCCAUGUAUCGACUGGGGUUAUGGGAUUUGUGUGUGUGUGUGUGUGUGUGUGUAAAGAGUCCUAGGACCAGCCACUUCUCCAAGGAGCCAUGGGUCCUUUUAAUGAGAAAUGAUAUUAGAAAUGAAGACUCGGACACUGGCAGUAUUGUUGCUUCUAGGCCCUCUCAGCUGACAGAGCAAGGGAAUGUAUGUGUGAAUACUAACCUGAGCUCGAUACCUAGCUAACAUCUAUCUUCCCAACAACUACGCCAGGGAAGGGGUCGUUUCCACAUUUCAUAAACAAAGAGACUGGGUGAGACUCAGAGAGGCUAAGAAAGCUGCCCGAUGCCAUAGGGCAAUACGCAGCGAUGGAGAGGAGAUUCAAAUUUGGAUUUGUCUGGAUCCAAAAUCUCUUUUCCUUCCAUGACAACAAAACUGAGGAGAAGAGAGAGAGAUGAGUAGCUGUCUGUCAAUAAUUAUUCCAAUUUCCCUUGUCCACAUGCUUUCCUGCCUUCACUCCCUUCUGAGUUGUUCUUACUCUUCAGAGGUAAAGCAGAGCCUUUCAUAGAGCUAUAAAUGUUGAUCAAAGUACCAGAUUAUGAGAUUAUUCAGAGGCUAAUAUGUAAUCCUUGGGGUUUCCUUUCUCAUCUCACUCUCACUGCUGCCAGCAUUAAUGCUUUCUGAUAAACAUAUGGCCUCCUUUUUAUUCUAGAAAACACUGGUUCUCAACAACAAAGGAAGUACACUUAAGCAGACUAAGGCAUAUAUAGUCAUCACUAAGCACUCAACCUGGAAAGACUAUUGGAUUGUAGCCCAUUCUUUCUAUAAAGACAAUUGUAUUAUAAAACCAAGUGAGACAAGAGGGAAUAUUCUCUGGUCAACUAAGCAUAUCUAAAGCACAUUAGAAAUUGGGAGACAAUAUUGUGUGUUAUUUUAAGAAAAGCUUGUGUAGAACUACUACCUGGUUGCCAGCAAAUAGCAUGUAUAAAAAGGGAAGGUAAUAAGAAAAAAGAGUCUAAGUAAAAGAAAAGUAUGUGAACAGUUUUGUUCUUAGAACUCAACUGUUGGUCACAGAACUCAGCUGUUAAGAAUACAUCAUUUACAGUUGCCUGCCUGGAUUCUGUGAUAGUUCUUUAGUAUUUGAGAUAUUAAGACAGGCACGUGUUUUGGUCAUUUCUGGAAAAGCCAGGGCUGUCCUGGAAACUCCUUGUAUAUUCUAGCCUUUUAUUGUGAGGCGGCAAUAAAAAUAGAGAAAUGUUAUAGAGAGUGAAUUUUAUAUGACUUUGGGACACAAUGGAAGA